GAGUUUGAUCCUGGCUCAGGACGAACGCUGGCGGCACGCUUAACACAUGCAAGUCGAACGAGGUCCAAGGAGCUUGCUCCGGAAGACCGAGUGGCGAACGGGUGCGUAACACGUGAGAAACCUGCCCCGAACUUGGGAAUAACAGUCGGAAACGACUGCUAAUACCGAAUAUCUUCACGACGUCGCAUGGCGAUGUGAAGAAAGCUUUAUGCGGUUUGGGAGGGUCUCGCGGCCUAUCAGCUUGUUGGUGAGGUAACGGCUCACCAAGGCAUCGACGGGUAGCUGGUCUGAGAGGAUGAUCAGCCACACUGGGACUGAGACACGGCCCAGACUCCUACGGGAGGCAGCAGUGGGGAAUAUUGCACAAUGGGCGCAAGCCUGAUGCAGCGAUGCCGCGUGCGGGAUGAAGGCCCUAGGGUUGUAAACCGCUUUCAGUAGGGAAGAAAAUGACGGUACCUACAGAAGAAGGUGCGGCCAACUACGUGCCAGCAGCCGCGGUGACACGUAGGCACCAAGCGUUGUCCGGAUUUAUUGGGCGUAAAGAGCUCGUAGGCGGUUCAGUUAGUCGGGUGUGAAAACUCUGGGCUCAACCCAGAGACGCCACCCGAUACUGCUGUGACUAGAGUACGGUAGGGGAGUGGGG
RNAcentral lists this ribosomal RNA (643 nucleotides) under uncultured bacterium. RNAcentral describes it as "bacterial SSU rRNA". It matches the Rfam family "Bacterial small subunit ribosomal RNA", at positions 9 to 664 of the family's 1533-position model. The record is from RNAcentral.